CAGCAGCCACGGUAAUACGGAGGGGGCUAGCGUUGUUCGGAAUUACUGGGCGUAAAGCGCACGUAGGCGGCUUGGUAAGUUAGAGGUGAAAGCCUGGAGCUCAACUCCAGAAUUGCCUUUAAGACUGCCGAGCUAGCAGGUGAGAGAGGUAAGUGGAAUUCCGAGUGUAGAGGUGAAAUUCGUAGAUAUCCGGAAGAACACCAGUGGCGAAGGCGGCUUACUGGCUCAUACUGGACGCUGAGGUGCGAAAGCGUGGGGAGCAAACAGGAUUAGAUACCCCUGUAGUCCCUGUCUCUUAUAC
This 301-nucleotide ribosomal RNA is filed under the name uncultured bacterium. RNAcentral describes it as "partial 16S ribosomal RNA". It matches the Rfam family "Bacterial small subunit ribosomal RNA", at positions 509 to 807 of the family's 1533-position model. The record is from RNAcentral.